UUGAUCCUGGCUCAGAUUGAACGCUGGCGGCAUGCCUUACACAUGCAAGUCGAACGGCAGCGCGGACUUCGGUCUGGCGGCGAGUGGCGAACGGGUGAGUAAUACAUCGGAACGUACCCUGUUGUGGGGGAUAACUAGUCGAAAGAUUAGCUAAUACCGCAUACGACCUGAGGGUGAAAGCGGGGGACCGAAAGGCCUCGCGCAGCAGGAGCGGCCGAUGUCUGGUUAGCUAGUUGGUGGGGUAAAGGCCCACCAAGGCGACGAUCAGUAGCUGGUCUGAGAGGACGAUCAGCCACACUGGGACUGAGACACGGCCCAGACUCCUACGGGAGGCAGCAGUGGGGAAUUUUGGACAAUGGGGGCAACCCUGAUCCAGCAAUGCCAGCAGUGUGUGAAGAAGGCCUUCGGGUUGUAAAGC
Molecule: ribosomal RNA, 418 nt
Filed under: uncultured bacterium
Lineage: Bacteria
Description: SSU rRNA
Rfam family: Bacterial small subunit ribosomal RNA
Source: RNAcentral